RNAcentral lists this ribosomal RNA (423 nucleotides) under uncultured bacterium. Its description in RNAcentral is "bacterial SSU rRNA". It matches the Rfam family "Bacterial small subunit ribosomal RNA", at positions 954 to 1375 of the family's 1533-position model. The record is from RNAcentral.
AUGGGAACGCGAAGAACCUUACCUACUCUUGACAUCCAGAGAACUUUCCAGAGAUGGAUUGGUGCCUUCGGGAACUCUGAGACAGGUGCUGCAUGGCUGUCGUCAGCUCGUGUUGUGAAAUGUUGGGUUAAGUCCCGCAACGAGCGCAACCCGUUAUCCUUUGUUGCCAGCGGUUCGGCCGGGAACUCAAAGGAGACUGCCAGUGAUAAACUGGAGGAAGGUGGGGAUGACGUCAAGUCAUCAUGGCCCUUACGAGUAGGGCUACACACGUGCUACAAUGGCGCAUACAAAGAGAAGCGACCUCGCGAGAGCAAGCGGACCUCAUAAAGUGCGUCGUAGUCCGGAUUGGAGUCUGCAACUCGACUCCAUGAAGUCGGAAUCGCUAGUAAUCGUAGAUCAGAAUGCUACGGUGAAUACGUUCCC